UUUUUUUUUGUAUGUGCAUCAAGCAAAGCUCAACAUUUGUGGCAGUGAAGGUAACUUUUAUAUUGUCUUAACCAAUAUACAUGGUAACUUUCAUAAAUUUCCUUCCUUUAGCACGGUGGGUUUCAUUGUGAACGAAGUCCUCCUCUGAAACUUUAAAGGUAAGUUUGGAAACUUCCAGGGUUUAUUUGAAAAACUUAUUUAACUUGUAUGGUGUUUUCUAUAUAUAUAUUAAAAUAAAUUACUAUACGAUGGUUACCUACUUACCUUGAAACGAAAGCGUAAUUUCCCCCCACCUUCGUUUCGUGAUGUUUUUCUAUUAACAUGGAGGCGAGCUGCCACAACCCCUCUGCAGGACUUCACACCACUGACUCCUUGUCGCCGCCGCUAAGCCCCAUCGCCAUGGUGAGUGCCGCACCCUCGUCCCCUGCCUCCAGAACAGCAAGAUCGUCCACUGCCGGUAGCUCAGCCAGGAUCACACGCCUCUGCCUCUUGAUUCUGCUCUUGAAUUGCUGCGGGGCCAUAUACCACUCCCGGCACGAUCCGGGGUCCGUGGCGUUCGUGGCGGCGUCCUUCACCGACCUGGCGCUGCUGCUCUACUUGCUCCCCCGCUUUGAAGGCUCGCCGCUGGGGUCGCGCGCGAGGAGCCGCGCGAAGGCUGGCGUGUGGAUCCUCUCCUCGAUUUUGACCGUGAUGUUCUCCUGCAAGGUAGGAGCGCUCAUGCCGUUGGCGGCGGCCAUCGCCGUUUGGACCAUGGGCAUGGCAACAGUGCUCGGCGGAUUCUUUAUGCUCUUCCUCUGUGGAGAGGCAGAGCAAGUCAACAGCGACGACGAGCCUCUCAAAGCCGCCGAGGAUGGAGCGAACAAGCAGCAUGAGCAGCCUCCCAAAGCCGCUUUGGAUGGGGCCAACAAGCAGCACGGUCGAGGGGAUCCUGAUUUACACCAGCCAAUACUGUCUUGUUGAGUGCACUGGAUUACUCGUGCAUACUGACUUAGCUGCUCAUGUGUCUGUGUACCCACAUAUUGUCAUCAAUAAAAGAUCUGUACCAGUUUAUCGAUUGCGUUACCUCAUAUGUAGUUCUUCUGCCACAUUUCCCCCUCUUUUUCCUCGUAAUUUGUUUGCUGUGGUUAUUUGAUGAGCCACCUGUGUUUGCGGGUCCAUUGAUCUGUUUGAUCAGCCACCCAGUGUUCGUGGUCUGUUCGUUUGAUCGGGAACCUAUGUUUGGUAAUCUGCGCUGUAAUUCUGCCCUUAUCAGCUAUAUAUAUGCAAUCCUUUGUUUUUAUCUUGAUACAUCAUCCCCUUUCUGGGCUUAACUGAGCCUAUCAAACGCAUGAUGGUGUGUGUGGCCUUUCUCCAGUUUCCUCUGCUUGUUAUCACAUGAAACACAGACAAUAACGACGCCGUCGAACUGGGCAGCCAUGGCCAGCCAUGCGCAUCGGCGCAUCAAGAUAGGAUGACGUUCAUGCUGACGACUACUGGACAAAAGUCGGAAAUUGCUAGGAAGAAGCAAUAUUUGUUCCAUCGGUGAACGCCACCUGUGCCGACUAAUCAGAAACCGGCAGCGGACAAGUGGAGGCAACAAACCGCGGGGUUGACAAAGACUAUUCAGACCCUGUUCACCAGACCUGCACGAGAUGACUGGUGGAUGACCUACCUCCUCAAGUAAGCGCCCCAUCAAGCAAGCAAGGCAGUGCCAACCCCUGCGGGGUAGGGAAGGGAAAAAAAAAACAAAAAAAGGAGCAGUAAACAAAAGUAGAUCCAAACAUAUGGGCGCGGCAUGACCAGCGUCCCUGCAACUCUAUUGUUCAUAUAUACAAAACGACCUUAAUUAUCCAUAUGCAAAGGUUGUUUUUGUAAUACAGUAUUUGGUCGCAUCGAAGCCUAAGCAAAUCACCCCCACCCGGCUCCCUCCGAUCACAUUCCUAGCAUAAGUAUUCUUGUUCAGUGCAUACCAAACUCAAAUUUUGUCACAGCAACCCUUGAUCCAAUCCAAAAGAUACCAAGUUAAAGAGUAUAAGCUAUGUACGCUUAUCAUUUCGUUAAGGUGCCCUAAUAUAGUACUGUAAUAUCUAUUUCUGAUUCCUUUCUACUGCACCAUGUGCUCCAUAACCAGUUUGCUAUUUUGUGUAAAGAAGAAAAUGCUUUUUAAAAUCUUUCUGCAGCCAAGCUUCAUUCAAAGAGCUGACUGGCAAACAUGUCAACAUAGGCCAUUAUGUAUUGUCAGAUAUUUAAGAAAAAUACCACAUUGAAGUCACCAAUUAUGUCCUCCGUAAUCAGUAUAGCAACGAUAGAGAGAACCGUUUAAUCUAUAAUAGUAGUAAUAGUAACAGUGGAAAAGAUAGAAAAAAUAAUUCCUAAAACAAUGAAAGUGUGAUAGACAUCGCAGCGUCAAUGAGUCAUGGUUCAAAUAUGACAGCUUCACAGGAAGGGUCAGUAUCAUUAUAUCAAUUGAGGCAAACAGGGUCAUGGAGGAUAAGCUGAAACCAACACUCGCUGAGAAGAGUUGAACACAAUUACACAACAAACUGGAUAUAUGGCUGUAAAUCGUCAGAUUAGCAACACUAUAUAAAGGACAUUGUGUUAACGCCAAGGUAAGGGAUGCACAGUGCUCACUCAAUGCACACACUCGAAGUUAACAAUGAUAACCAGGAGUCCAGUUGUCCUCCUCCAGUCAAUUAGUUACAGUAUUUUAAAAGAGUUCCAAACAGUUAGUGCUGUAACCACUGAUCAGAUCAUUUGUUGUAAGCCAUCGUACUUUUCAUCGUACUUUUCCUUAACUGGGGGAUUGAAGAAUCAAUGACCACGUGAAACCUGAUGUGAUGAAGGGUACAUCUAAUCAUAAUAAAAGAAAAUUGAAGUGUUUGCUAAAUCAGGUAAAAUGGCGUUUUCAAACUGCUUGAAAACUAACGGAUAACCAACCACUUGCAGAGCAGAGUACACUGACGCGUGCAGAAAACUUAUCAGAAGUCAUCUGGCUUGUGACAUCAGUUAGCCAAUCUAUCCCUACACGAUUAUUAUUCAUCAAAACUUCAUAGCUGCUCACACAGGGGAAAGAAUUCGGCCUCCUCCGGUAAGGCACCAAGCCAGUAAUUCGAAGAAUGUGAAAUGUCACAGCCACAGGUGUUCCAAUUGAAGAACAAGCAAAACUCACUGUAUGAUCAGACAAUUGCAGAUUUCUUGAAACUACUGAAGCAAACACGAAUCUACUACGAAAAUAAAACUAGUUGAGAAAUAUCCUGGCGCAAUUACGAGCUCAUGACAAAGCUAAAACAAUGCAAUUUGAUCGCCUCACAAGCAAAGCAAGGAACAGAGUCGAUCCUUCGCCCCCCCCCCCCCCCCCCCCCCCCCGCCCCCCACAAACACCCCCCAAAAAAAAAAAACCUGCGCAGCAAAUCGUGCCAUCCAAAUCCAAAAAUAAUCAAGGAGACAAGUGGAAAAUAACAAGGAACGCAAGGAUCUAUAUCACGCGGGAUGAACCAGCAUCACUUGAUCGGAACCCCCCCGUCGCAUAGACACAAAGCGACGAACACUCCAGAUCGCAUGAGAAAGAGAUCAAAAUCGCCGAGCAACCAACAUUAAACAGCCGAAAUCUGAAGUGGGAGAUGUUCGAUCCGCACGCACCUGCAUGGAGCAGGCAGCACGAACGAAUAGCGGUUGCCCAUCACCUGAUCCCCACGAGUCCACGCCCUGUGGCGGAGAGCGGAGGGGGUGCAGCGGGCGACUUGCGCUUGAGCCCAUCGCAUCCAGACACAUCCAACCUCCACGCCAGGAUUCUUCCCACCCCUACUCCAGAGGCUCAGAUCCGCUGCGUUUCGAGGAGAGGCGGGUUCGUUUGGCGAAGAAAGGCGCGGAUAUUAAAUCCUAGAAAAAGUUCAUCCUGGCUGCCUGCUCUGGAAGAGUGGAAGGUACGUCCUCUGGCAGCGCAGGCAGCGUCACCAAUAAGGCUAAGGUCCUGUUUGUAUACGCUUUUCCCAGCCACGCUUAGAUUAUAAUCUAAGCGAAGAUUUUCUCGCUUCUCGCUUCUCGUAGUUCAAAUCGUUGAAGCGGCUUACCACAUAAGCGAGAAUCGGUGGAAAUAAGCAAAGCGUUUGGCGGGAUUCUCGCUUAUUUCCACCGAUAAGCCGCUUAUAAGCGGAUACAAACGGGGCCUAAGGCUAGUCCCAGUGCAAGGUUUCAUUGCACUGUUUCCAAAGAUGCCACAUCAUCCCAUGAGGUGUAUUCUCAUGAAUGAAACAGGGAGUCCCAGUGCACAGUUUCAUUUCACGAUUACAUAGAAUGCCCAUGACAUUUAAUUGUGAGGCAUGUGAUUGGAUAGGGUUAGAUGAAAUGAAACUCUAUAGCCCCCAAUGCAAGUUUCAAUAGGUUUCAUAGUCUUGGAAACAGUGUAUACACAGUUUCAUCCUGAUGAAACUCCUUCCCUCUCUCACUUUAUAACUACCAUGCCAUGUCAUCACAUAUGCUGAUGUGUCACUGUAUUUAAUGUGCAUGAAACCUCUAUGAAACUCCCACUGGGAUUAGCCUAAGGGCGUGUUGGAUCCUCGGCUAAAGUUCAGCACUCAUCACAUCAAAUACUGAGAUGCUAAUUAAAAGAAUUAAAUAUGAUCUAGGGGUGUUUGGUUCCCUAUACUUAUUUUUAGCACGUGUCACAUCGAAUGUUUAGAUACUAAUUAGGAGUAUUAAAUGUAGACUAUUUACAAAACCCAUUACAUAAGUGGAGGCUAAACGGCGAGAUGAAUCUAUUAAGCCUAAUUAAUUCAUCAUUAGCAAAUGUUUACUGUAGCAACAAAUUGUCAAAUCAUGGACUAAUUAGGCUUAAUAGAUUCGUCUCGCCGUUUAGCCUCCACUUAUGUAAUGGGUUUUGUAAAUUGUCUACAUUUAAUACUCCUAAUUAGUAUCUAAAUAUUCGAUGUGACGGGUGCUAAAAAUAAGCAACCAGAACCAAACCAGGCCCUAAUUAUAAAAUUAAUUGCAGAAGUCCUCGGCUAAUUCGUGAGACGAAUCUACUAAGCCUAAUUAAUUUUGUAAUUAGAAGGGCUAAAUAUGAGCGAAUUAGCCUCUAUAUGUGCAAUUAGUUUUGUAAUUAGCUUAUAUUUAAUACUUUUAAUUAGUAUCAAACAUCCGAUGUGACAGGGCUAAAGUUUAGCAUCUAGUAUCCAAACACAGGCUAAAUUGGAUCUAUACCAUCGAAAAAACCAUUCUAUAUAUACUAGCAAAAGAUUGAACUUUAGAUAUAUAUCAUUAAAAGAUCACAUUUGUUAGCAGCUUACCAUUCUGUCAUCUCCAUGUUAACUCUGACCAUUCUACCCUUCCUAAUAGGCUAAGACAAGAUAUGCCCUUCCAUUCUAGAAUGGCUAUUUCUUGCAUUGUAUAAAUCUUCUCAAUGAUUUUAAUAUUAUCCAUCAAAUUAGGAAGGUCUUUGUAUUGUUUAAUUCAACAUUCUUCUCAGUAAGUUCAGUAGAAACAGGAAGCUCAGGAGCAGAGAGUAGUGGUAGGUCGGGUGAACGAAUGGGGAUUCGUCGGCGGCGACGGAGGCAGCAAUGUUGGCCUUCGUCGAAUCGUGGUUGGCCAUUUCCACAAGACGUGAUCAAUGUCAUCACGUUCCAGCAACAGGUGCUACUGUGGGUGCAUCUCCUCCCUCAUCUCCCCUCCAUUAGACCAUCGUGCCACCGGCCGCCACCAAGACAUCGUGGCAUUCGGCGCCUCUACUACUUUAGCUGGCCGGUCUCUCGAGCUCUACCAGGGCUCAUCACGUAUGCCAAUAUAGCAGAAAGAAUGGAUCAUAGCUUUUAUAUUUGGCGUUGCUAGCGCUCGGACAUCUGACGGGAAAACUUCCCAUCGGAUGCUCCGUUGGUCCAUCGCAACAUCAAAAAAUAACAUCUGCAACAUAGAAAAUAAAUGUUUGCAACAUAGAAAAUCACCGUCUACAACAUCAAAAAAUAUGUUGAAAAAAAUUUAUUAGCCAUCUGUUGAUGAUGAGGAAAAAAAAGACCUGCCGCAACAUCUGUUUCGUGUUGCAUGGAACAUUCAAAUCUCUCAUUGAAAAUGCAACAUACAGAUAAAACACUUGCAACAUGUGUGUGAAACAUAUGCAACAUCGCAACAUCUAGAUCUACUUUGCAACAUUCACAUGAAACACUUGCAACAUUAUUCUGAAAAAUCUGAAAUACUUGAAACAUACGCUUGCAACAUGCAGCAAGGCCUGGCAAGAGGAGCACUGCACAGUGGGAUCCGAAGCUAGAAAACGGUGGUGGAGGAGGAGGAUGGCGGGCCGACGCGGCUCGCCCCUAACCGCGGGGGAGCGGUGCUCGGCACCCUUCCCCAUGGAGCUCCUCAGGCGGCCAAGCCCAUUGUUGGUGGCGCCACCACAUCGCUCGCCACAGAUCGCAUAGGCCACCGCCAUUGCCGAGCUAGAACUCCACCCCGUAUGGGGAUCUCAUUGUCACCAUCGGCAACCUUGCUUGGAUGAGGGUCGUGUGCAGAGGGGCCACACCACCGCAGCUCAGACAAGAGCUCAUCUGGAUUGGAAGCAAGGGAGAGAGAUAGGAGAGAUAAAUGAGUGGUUGAAGCUCGAGCUCCAUUGGUUGCAGUCUUGCAGGUUGCAGCACUUAGCGAGCAGGGAGAAAGAAUAGGGGAUUUGGUUGCUUGGUGGCUGUGUUGGAAUGGAUAAGAGUCAACGGGCAGGAAUAAAAAUGACUGGACGUGAACUCGCUGUUAAUUGUAUUGGAAAAAAGUUUCGAGUCUGUCAAUGUCCGUUCGAUAUUUUUACUCUCAUCCGACGUAUAUAUUAUACCAUUACCGUUUACAUUUCCAUCCAGCUACCAGCAAGCAUGCAGCAGCCCCUGCUAUGGGUGCAUCGACGGGUACUGGAGGCGAGCUCACCCAAGCAACCGCCCCAGCUCGCCAAAAGGGUGGGAACGCCCCUGCCGCGGCACAUGCGACCAGCAGUGCAGCACCCGCCAGAGUUACGAGCGGCAGAGGCCAUCGGGGCUCGGGGGAUCGUCGCUAGGGAGAAGGCACCUGUAGUUUUGGGUGGAGGGUAAAAUUGGAAUACUGUAAAUCUUUAAUCGGCAAAAAUAGAGAGAACCAAGCGAUUCCAUCGACGGAAGGUAACUUGUAAUCUUUUGAUGCUAAAUAUCUAAAGUAGAAUCUUUUGAUCGUAUAGAUCCAAUUUCCUCCACCAAUAAAAGAAAAUCUUCGCGUGGGAGGCGCCGAGGCGCGCAGGUGCUGCCAGAUUAUAUAGCUCGACACAACACCGUCAAAAACUCAAAAUACUCAAGCAUGAACCCUUAAAGUGUAUUUUACAUGGUCUAAAUUGAUAUUAUAUGAUACUAAAUUAUUGUUAAACUAAAGUGGAGAUAAUAAAUGCACUAAUUUAGUUUUAAUUUGCACCAAAUGAAAUAUGAAGGAUGAAUGUCACAUUUUUGCGAUACGGAUGAAAAAUACACUUUUUUUUUUCAAAAAAGAAAAGAAAAGGAAACAGCACAAGUUAUUGCCCGAAGGCCGAGACUAAGCAGCGGGCCCAAGUUGUUGGGUUCCAUAUGGCAAUUAACCAGAAUUUCAUCCCAUGGCGGCCCAUGGGCCUUGCUUGUUCACAUUUGACGGCACUUCACUUUCGUGUGCUUUUGACUAUUUUUGACUGAAGUAUAAUAGUUCAGCUUUCUCUCUCCUUUGAACCGAUUGAAAGACUUCUCUCUCCUUUGAAUCGGCAUAAAGCAGGGAUUCCACACGCACUUUAAACACUAGGUCGAGUUUUUUCUUUUACCCCGCAUUUUAGCAAAUUGGGUGGACAAACAUUCGUUAGGUCAUCUUAUCUCGUUAUACCUGAUAUAACUCAUUCAGGUUCCUGCACACUUCAUACCUUGGUGAUAUUUGCACAUUCCAAUCUGGGAAUAUAUCUAGUGAAAAUAAUUAACUAAACAACUAUGCAAGGAAAAAUCGCAGCUGAAUGGGUAUUCUGUUUGCCUGUUUGGGUGCGUGACAUUGUAGCGGAUGUACCAUGACUGGGAACAUGAUAUAAUCUAGCAACCGUAUUGACCGUCCGUCGCUUGCCUAGUCUCUAUAUUGUGUUAGCCUUUCUGUCACCGUUUGUCCCUAGGCUGCCCACGACCGGAUGCGUCUAUAGGUGUGUUUGGAUCCCAUAGCUACCAUAGCUAAUAUAUAAAGUGCUAAAGUUUAACACCUUUAUACAUUAGCCUAUCCAAAUAGAAGAGCUAAUAUGAGGACUAAACUUUAGCCUACCCUCAAAAAAUGUAAAAGCAUUAGCUGGUGGGAAGGAGCUAAUGAGUGCUAAUAGCUUGUGAAAAGACAAAAAGGGGAGAGAGAAAGGGAGGAGGUGACGAGAUAAAAGGGCAAAAGUGACUUUUCAUAAACUUUAGAUCUAUCCAUUAGUCAUAUUUUCUAACGGGAGUGCUAAUGGGUGGAAAUGCUAAACUUUAGCAAUAGCGCAUCCAAACAGGCCCUAUGCGUCACAGACGCGCAGUUGAAAGCCACAAUUGUUGAUGGCAGUUAGCGCGCCAAUUGGUGAACCACAAGCACAAGGAUCAAUUAUAGCUUUUUCCUUAGAGUAUCCCCAAGGUUUAUCAAUCCGUGGAACAAGUGGAUUGAUGACUUUCACUUUAUACUAAUCUUACUAACAAAAUCAGGCAAUAUGGGUUGUGUAGAGAAACAAACUAAUCUAAACUAAAUAAGGAGCCAAGAUUGAUACAAUAAAGAUAACAGAGAUAGAUAUGCAUUCCAUCCCUAUGAUCUAGGUUCACAUGAAUAUGCAUCUACUACACAAAUGGGUGUUGCCUUCGCUAGCUAUCACAGAGAUUAUGUGCUCGCUCAGCUCUUUCCCUCCUCCGUACCAUCACUACACAGGGAUAAUCAACAAUCUUACUCACACAUCUGUAUUUUCCGCAGAGUUAAGCUAAUCACUACGAUUACCACAAACUCUACCAAGGACAUACGAAGCGCUCACAUAUGUAAAUAAAGUAUUGCAAUGCCAUAGACCAUGAAGCAUUGAUAUGCAUAAUGUACAUGUAGCAGUUACAUAUCAAGGAUCCAAAUAAUCCUAGGGAUGAAUAGAGGCUUUACCCCAUCAUCUUACAAAGAUCGAUGCACAAAGGGGUGAUGGAGACUCUGGAGAACGUCGUCACUGAAGAUGGCGAUGAGGGGGUGCAGGAACACCCUAGGCCGAUUGGCCUAGGGCUCCUCUGGUCGAGGCUUCUUUGCGCCUCCUAACUUUCGCCGGCGUUGGUCGUUAAGGUGAUCUGAUCUAAUCUCUGUUUCUCAUCUUGUGGCGGCGGUGGUUAGGUCUAAACUCAUCGGGUUGUGUUCCUUGUUGAAUGUCUUGGGUAUUUAUAUUUGGUGGCAUCGGUUAGGGUGCCUUCGAGGCGAAGCAUCUGGAGAAAAACCCUAGGAAUAUCGUGGGCUUCCUCCUGAUGAAAGGGGAGGUCAAUCGGGGCCGAAAACGGACUAGGCCAAUUGGCCUGGAUCCCCAUAGGUCGAUCAGCCUACCCUCUUUUAGCCUCCAAUGCCCGAGCGCUUCAUAUGAAAGUUGUAGAUUUUUUUGAGGCAUGCAAUUUUUCCUGUAAAUUCAUCCCAAUUAGAGUUCGGAGAAGGAAGGUACACCCUGUGCAAGUUCAGCUCCUCCUGCGAGCCUGCAGUUUAAUGUUCGUGUUUGAGCCUUCCAAUAUCCAAAGUUUGGACCCAAAUCCAACUUGUAGAGAAACCCUUCAUUUAUGUUGUAUUUCAUAUGAUUUUUGCAAUAUGGUUCAAAACACAACACAUAGGCGAAUAUGGGAUUUUUUCAGGUGCCAAGUGGCGGGUUAGUAUAAGAAUAAGUCUAAAAAUACCACUUAAAUGGUACCAAAAAGGUAUCACUAACGAGCGUCAACAACAGUGUCGCCUUCAGUGAGCACACGGCCCAAGACUGUCGUUGGCCCACGACGGCAGCCGGCCUAUCCCCAUGCCACUACCACCUUCCUCACCCCGCACGCCCCCGUGCCGCCCACAUACAUCGUCUCCGGCGACUCCCGUCGCCGGCGAUCCUCCCCCUCCCCCCACGUGCUAACUUGGCUCCCCCGCUGCCUUCCUCCUCCGGCUCCGCCGCCACCACCCUCCGCUGCCCUAACUCGGCUCCGCCAAGGAGCUCACCUCCAACCUUCGCGCCCACCCAUACCUAGCUCACCGGCUGUCGACCCGCCGUCCCCGGCCGGCGGCGUCCCCGCUGCUGUGUUGCGCUGCCUCGCAACCCGCCUCCUCCGCGGACCUCCCUACCCCCCAUCCCCCCUUUUCUAAGGCCGGCAGCCAUGAACCUCCCCCUGACAGCCCCGAACCACCAAAACGCAAAAAACCUAACCCGAGUGCUCAUCGGCAGGACACCCCCGCGCCGCACCACCUUGAAGCUCUAACCCGGCGGCGGCGGCGUGCUAACAGGAGAGGAGGAAGCCGGGGGAGUCAAACGGAAGGAGAGGAGGAAGAGAGAGCUGAUAGGUAGACCCUGCAUAUGUGACAGAUUGACCUAUAGUCAUGGCGCCCACGACCACCCUAACCUAACUACAUCUGGAACGUCGCUAUAGCACCUCUGCCACCUCUGUGACUACCAACGACCCUCCAUCGCCCAUAGCUAGUUGCUCUUGUUUUCCUAUCCACAACUCAUCGUAUGCUGGCUACCCUGUGGCACAAUGAUAUCCCUCUCAAGCUCAAGCGAUUCAUCCCCAAAUGCAAAACCCUAGCACCCAAAUCUGAAGCUUAACCCUACUAAAGGUGAGGCACAAUGAUAACAAGUGCUGAGGGAGAAGGACAACUGGACAAGCAUACGAGGAAGAAGACAACUCCGACGUGUGAGGCACACAUGCCGGCUUCUAUCGCCUCCGUGAGGGUGACAUGAGUGGCAUAUAGAUAUCUUAUUCCUUUAACUGAAGCGGAUAGUGCCACAGAUUAAAUUAUCUAUAGGUAUGUGAACAAAUAAAAAGAAAAAUAUUUCCCAAAGUGCUCAGGUUAAACCCAUAUGAAAAUUACCUACACUCACUUGGGAACUGUAAUGCCUAUCUUCCCAUGUAAAGUUCCAACAAACCUUUUUCUUUUUCAGAAUGCACCAAAAAAGUAUCAUUUAGUUUUGUCGUUAGUCAAACGAUAUUAAGUGUAUAACCAAAUUUAUAGAGAAGAGUAUCAACAUAUGUGAGAUUAAAUGCAUGUGUUAAUUUUAAGAUAGUGUGACUUGAACUAAAAUUGAAGUAUACUCUUUUUACAAUAAUGGAUGGAAUGGUAGUCAUAAUACGAACACUACUGCAAAACAGUGCAUCACCUGAUGGUCCCAAAAACCUGCAUCACCAUCGGCGGAUAUAGGUCGGCGGUGAUGCCUAUUAAAAAAAUAAAAAAAGAAUCCCUAGCCGCACCCUGCUUGCCCAUACAUGCCGCUUGCUGCAGUACCCAGGGGGAGAGAUAGAGCGCUAUAGUCCCGUGCUACUGGAGCCCGCGCCCACAGCCACAUCCCUCGUCCGUCGGCCGCCGGAUCCCCAUCUCACCGUGCUCGCACCCGCAAUCAUCACCGUCGUAGCUAGCUCGCGCCCGCUAGCCGCUAGAUCCCCACCUCACCACGUGCCCCCGGCCACCGGAUCCCUACCUCAUCAUGCGCCCUCGGAGCCCCACCUUGCCACCCACCGUCGAAGCCCCACCUCGUUGCUCCAAAUCUUGCCCCAUCGCUCCUCACCCCCGCUGCCACUUCUCAUAGCCCCGCCGCCGCCGCCGCUAGCGAGGGGCAAGCGGAGGGGGGAGCGGAGGGGAGGCAUACGAAGGUGGCGGAUUUGCACAACGGCUAGCAGAAAGAGAGGGAGGGAGGAGAGGGGAGGGAGGGAGAGCGGGAGAGUGGGAGGGAGAGCGCGCGGGGGGGGGGGGGGAGUGAGCAACCUCUAGAUGAGGGGGAGAUAUAGAAGUGGCGUGAGGGAGAGAGGAGGAGGGAGGCUAGUAGAGGAAGGGAGAAGGCAACGGACCUGAGAUGCAUGAUUUAAGUGGAUCGAAGUGUUUUUCCAAGUCCACGUCCUGUUUUACUAUUGGUUGGUGUUAAAAUCCGAUGGUGAUAGUAUCAUUGUCAGUUUUAGCUACCAAUCGACGGUGAGAAGGAGCAUCACCGCCGAUUUAAAUGCCACUGCCCCUACUUGCUCCUAAACCGACGGCGAAAGUCCGUUGGUAAUAGCUUGUUCUGUAGUAGUGGAAAUGUUUGCUUUUUAGGUUGAAGGAAGUUCGACCUCCAUCCUAAAUUAUAGGUCGUUUUGACUUUUCUAAGUUUAUUGCUUUUGCUAUGUAUCUAAAUAUAUAAUAUGAACUUUAAAAUGCCAAAAUGACCUAUAAUUUGGGACGGAGGGAGUACGAUAAUUAGUAGCAGAAAAUCAGGUGUGGGGGCAACUACUUAACAUCUUCACCAUAAAACAAAACGCUAAGAGGCCAGCUUGAGAUAUUACAGCCAUGUUAAUUUUCGAUGUUGAGCGGAUUGAUUAAGAUAAUGUAUACUUGGAUGUGUCUACGCUAUACGUAGUCAGUAUGUCCAUCUGCGCUAACUUGCUGUGCUUAAUCAUCAAGGACCGAAUUGAUGCAUCCCGGCGACAAAGAAGCGGCCAGAGGCGGCGUCUUGGGUGGCGUAGUAGAUGGUGCCGGGGCUAACGUGGUUGUGCACCCCCUCGUACAUGGUCACAACAUAGCUCGGGUCGUCCUUGUCUCGCUCUACCCUCUUCUUGACGUUGCAGCCCUCCGUCGAGCACCGGUAAUAGUUCCUGUAAUCAACGAUUGAUUUGAAGGCUCGUCAGUCCGGCCGGCAGUUCCAAACAAACUUUCAAUCCAUCGUAAAUUCUUCCUCUUCAUCCAUUUUCUCUUGGCAUAUUCAAAUUGACAUACACUACAAAUUAGCAGUGUAUAUAUAGUAGCUGCCUUUUGUUCCCAUUUAAACAUGUACCUCGGAUUAGGGCUGUUCUUUACGGACUUCUUGCCGUACUUCCUCCACUUGUAGCCGUCGUCGAGUACCUCCUCCUCCGACCUCAUCCGGAACGCGAUCCUGUCCGUCGUCCUCGGCGUCGACCCCUCCCCCGCCACGGCGGCCGUACCCCUGAAAAAUGUCCAGGUUCACGAACCGGCUGGUCAAAACGUGCACGUGCCCAUGCUUUGCGACUCAACCGAGAUGCACCCAGAAGAAGAAGAAAGUUCUCUAGCAGUAGCUGUACCACGCCAGUGCACCAAGUGUCUAGUCUAGACAUGCGCGAAACUCACCUAGCAUGAGCGUAGCCCGAGGCAUCCGGCACGACCGGCAUCCGCGGUGGCGGCGGCGGCGGCGUCCCGAACGUGCCAGGCACUACAACCGACGAGACGCCGUCGUCCGACAGGCACUCCAAGGCGUCGGGCUGCCGCUGCUGCGGCGCCAGGUCGGCGGGGGCCGCGCCGAACGCAGGCCGAAGGAAAGCUGCCGCGGGGCUACCAGCGCCGCCGUAGAAGGUGGAUGCCAAGCCACCGUCGCACGGGUUGCGAUACGCCAUGUCUAGGAAGACGGCGUCGGCGAGGGAGUUGCAGGAGGCUAGCGCCAUGUGCAUGGGCCGACCAGCUGCAAGCUAUACAGAGAUGCCCCGCCGAAGCGCUCGUUUUUAUAGCACGCGCCCGGGGGAUCGGCGGCGGCGGCCCGAAAGAUUCCAAAGGCGUCGUCGCUAGUUCUGGUGGCGUGGGCGGUGGGCGCGCGCGCGGGGAUGCGACGGGGACGUCGCACGCGGGCGCGGGCUUUCGCACGGGGCUUCCUAGCUGGGCGCACGUACGGAGAAGCUUCGGCAGGAGGACACAGCCGCCCCGUUCCGAUUUCCGGAUCGUUGAUUUGUUGCCGCGGUCCCUGGCAGCCACUUUGGGGAUCCGUACGUAACGUGCGUGCGUGGCGGAGGAAAAGGUCUCUGUCCGUCCAUGUCUCCAACUUCCUUGUCUGUGCGGUGGCGCUGGCGGUGUGGGCCUACGUGGCGGCGGCUGCGGCUGCGGCAAGAGGCGGGAGCCCGUGUAAAUAACGUUACGUCACAUUCGAAAAUUAUUACUACGAGUCUACAACCAGGAGUAUACGUGACGACGAAUUCAAGUAAGGGCUAGUUUAUUAACCGCUCGUGCCGUCGAUCAGUGAUUUUGUCUUAGACAUCCAAGUAGCAACACGUGAUCAUCUAGUCACCGCGCCUUGGAUGCUUGCACACUAAUAAUAAUUUGCUCGGUAGUGGGACACGCAUGUGUUUCCAAUUUCGUUGAAAAUUUUGCAAUUUCUCUAUCCUAAAACAUAGCUACUUUUAUAUUUAUUUUAAGUCUGGUGGAACUUCAUUGUGGCCAAAGGGGACAUGGCUCCUGAUUUAGAAACUUUCCUUUACAAAAGAGUAUUUUUCACCGGAGAUUAUCUAACAAAAGCAUCAAUUUCACUAUGAUUAAUUUCUUAGGUUGGUCCCCCAAUAUUUUCCUAAUUUCACUAUGGUUAAUUUCUUAGGUGCCCGAUAUGUUCCUCAAGCUCCGCCUCUACCUCUAGGUUUGGCUACAUUUAUAGAAAAAUUAACAAAUAAGUAUAUCAUUAAAAAAUAUAUCUCAUGAUUGAAUCUAUUAUGCGUGUCAUAGAUUUGGAUGCGUUCUUUUAUCAAUUUUGAUAAAAUUUAAGAUAAUUUGAUUUAAAACAAGCCUAAGAGCAACUCCAAGAGCUCCCUUAAAUUACCCCUAAAACCUUAAAUAGGGAAAAUUGGGAAAAAAAAGUUGCUCCAACAGUUCCCCUAAACCUCCCGCAAAUUUGCGUGUACCCGCAUUCGCUACUUUUUUCCCCGUAAAUAUGCGCGGUGCACUUCCUUCCCCAAUCCGUUCCGCGCGCGUCCGCGAUAGACACUGGCGCCCUUUUUUCCUCCCCGCGCGCCAUUUUUUCCCGUGCGGCGGCGCUGGACUUCCUGAGCGGUGGCGGUGGCGGCGUUCCCCGAGCGACGGCAGGCCCCGAGCGGCGGCGGCGCCCGGCCUUCCCCGAGUUGCGGUGGCGGCAGGUCUUCCCCGACCGGCGACAGCAGGUCUUCCCCUGCGGCGGCGGCAGGUAUUCUCCUGCGGUGGUGCCUGGUGUUCCCCACAGGCGGCGCUUGGUGUUCCCCUGCAGCGGCGCGUGGUGUUCCCCUGCUGCAGCGCCUGGUGUUCCUCCAGACCAAGGGACAGUGACAGGGAGCACUGCUCAGGUGGCUCGUCCUUUGCCUAGUGCUGAAGCUGCCGAAGAGGGAGCCCUGCUUCUGAUUCGGCGCAAGAACAAGAUGGUUUGCUUCAGGUCUGCUUAUUUGCUAAAGCCUAACGAUUAUCCGGUGGUUAGGUGUUUUAGACGUUGGAUUCAAUACCAUCUUGUGGUUGCUGCGAUAUUAUCCUAAAUUGUGCUAUGUUUGUUGGCCCUCUCUGGAAUGUUUGCAAGGAUGAACUUGAGCAGCCUCUAAAAUUGUUUUCUUGCAUCAGAUCCAUGCUUGGGGAUGGUUACCCUAGUAUGUCAUAUCUUGUGCAGAAGUCUUGCUAGAGAAGAGAAGUAUGAACUGCAAGGCACAUCAUAGACCUGGUAGUUGAAGCCAUGUGCUGUGUAUGCUCCAUAUCAUGUCUUCUGGUAGCUGAAGUUAAAUGUAAAUAUAAUUGUGUUUUGAAAAUCCAUAAGUUCCUACUAGAUUUGGAAAUGUACAUUGCCUGGCGCCAUCCUGUCCCAAAUGAACGGCCUUUCUAGUAGCGAGACCUUCAGGUGCAGUGAAAACGACGGUAAUCAUUACUCUUAUCCAUGGUUCACUCGGAGGAUCCAGGACGCACGCCUGCCUGCGGCACGCGCGCAGGGGCACGCGUCAAUCGUCCGUUCGCAAGGGGGUGGCGGCCGGCGUCAGUCGUCCGUCGUCAGUUUGCAGGGGCGGCGGCGUGAGACCUCCGUGCGCACAGGCACCGGAGUGAUAGGAUGCCAGAGGAGUAUUUUGACGGGGCACUGGACACGGUACUGGAGAAAAAAAAUUAACUGAUUUUAAUGGACCAAUUCGAUGACGUGACCUGUUUUGAAUUAUUGGGGAGUAGUUUUUUAGCGAUCUGCUGUGGGCUGAUAUGUUUUUGGGGGAAAUAUUUUUUUAGCAUAGCUCCCAAUACCUCAUUUUGAGAAAGAAUUUUUUGAGGAGCUCUUGGAGUUGCUCUAAAAGUAAUACUUCAUGCACCCGGAGUAGUAUGGCUGCAUGAGACAACUAGGAAGAACGUCCACCGCGCCCGUAGGCAGGCGCGCCGCGGCGACCUCGGCCCCGGCGGCGGAGGAGGCAGGCGCGGCGCGGCCACCUCGGGCUCGGUCCCGGCGGCGGCGGAGGCAGACGCGGCGCGGCCAGAUCGGCCCCGGCCCCAGCGGCGGAGGCGGCAGGCGUGGAGGCCGGCUCGGCCACCUCGGCCCCAGCCCUGGCGGCGGCGGAGGCGGGCGGCGCGGCUCCCUGGGCCGGCGCGACCCCGAUGGAGCGAGCCGGCGGCCCCAAGCGGCGCGAGUGGCCAGGUGGCUCCACCCCGGCGGCAAGGCCGACCGGCUCCGACCCCUUCGGCGGACACAGCGGUGCGGCGGCGGCGUAGCGGUGCGGUCCCGUCGGCGCGGUCGGCCGGCUCCGGCCCCAGCGGCGGGGACGGGCAGCGCGGGCCCCCAGCAGCAGGGGCAGCGCAGGCGGGCGGGCGAAGCAGGUGACGGCGAUUUUUUCCUGAUGCUUGAAGGACGUCGCAGCGCCAUCCUCUUGAGGCGGUUCAUGGCGGAGAAGUGCUUGAGCCUGGAGAGGACGGCGGGGUCGAGGGGCCGGUCCGGGGCGACGCCAUUCUCGCAGAUCCACGGGUGGCAGAGGACCUGGUGCGCGGUGAGGCGAUCGGCGGGGGGCGAGCGCAGCAUGCGGCGGAUGAGGUCCUUGGCGCUGUCGGAGAUGGCGGGCCACGGCUCGGAGUCGAAGUCGGUAGUGCCCCGGAGGACGGCGUCGAAGAUGCCCUGCUGCGUCUCGGCCCAGAAGGGCGGCACCCCGCUGAGGAUGUCGAUGAUGACCCCCCGCCGUCCCCACGUCCGCCUCCGGGCCGUAGUGCUUGCAGAGCACAUCGGGGGCGACGCAGUAGGGGGAGGCCACGACGUCGGUGAAGACCUGCCCGGGCUUGAAGAAGACGGAGAGGCCGAAGUCGAUGGCCUUGAGCUCCGCCUCGUCGUUGUCUCCGUCCUUGCCGUCGUUGUUCCUGAGCAGCAGGAAGUUCUCGGGCUUGAGGUCCCGGUGCAUGACCCCGAGGGAGUGGCAGGCCUCGACGACGCCGACGCCGACGCGCGCGAUCUUGGAGGCCUUGCGCUCGGAGAAGUAGCCGCGGUCAACGAUGCGGUCGAAGAGGUCGCCACCCUCGCAGAGCUCCAUGACGAUGUGGACGUAGAGCGGGUCGUCGUAGGCGCCCUUGAUGGAGACGACGCCGGCGUGGCCGGCGAGGUGGUGCAUGAUGUGGGCCUCGCGGCGCACGUCGUCGACGUCCUCGGGGGUGAGCAUAUGAAGUCAUUUUUUUUGUAAGUUGUUGCAGGGGAAACUUAUUUGUCGUGGAGGCACCGACGAUGCCUCCGCCGCGUGCGAGGCCUGGGCGGCGUCAUUGUUUUCGGCAAGCGAGCUGGACGGUAAAAACGGGACACGCGUCAAGGACUGAUAGGAUUGAAGCGCUGAGGCUCUCCGAGCCCUCCAAAUCUUACAGCGGUAUAGAUACGUAGACAUGGACGCUCACGAGAGACCGGCGCUGCCUGCCUUCCUGAUGCCUGCCCAGCCCAGCCAGAAGACGACCCGGAGGAUACUGGAUACAUGCACUCUACUACGCAGGCUCCACACACCCGGCCGGCCGGUCAGCUGUUGCAGCGGCCACCAACAUGGAAACAUCUACCGCUCGGUCACGCCGCGGUUCCAACGGACAAGGUAACGGUUGAAUACGUCGUGUGGCUGACCUUGCUAUUUGUGUGUGUGUGGUGGCGCUGCUUCGUGAGACAUUUUGUGGACGGCUACACCUACACGCGUGUAACCUGCCCUGCCCUACGAUUGAUCGAUCCCCACUCCCCAGUCUCUCUGGCCAGCGUAAAGGGGUGUUUGAUACAAGAUGCUAAACUUUAGCAAGGUUACGUCGGAUGUUCGGAUGCUAAUUAGAAAAACUAAACAUAACUAAUUGCACAGAUGGAGUCUAAUUCGCGAGAUGAAUCUAUUAAAGCUAAUUAAUCCAUCAUUAGCAAUGGUUACUGUAGCACCAUAUUGUCAAAUCAUGGACUAAUUAGGCUUAAUAGAUUCGUCUCGCGAAUUAGACUCCAUCUAUGCAAUUAGUUUUAUAAUUAGAUUAUAUUUAAUACUUCUAAUUAGUAUCCAAACAUUCGAUGUGAAAAGUGUUAAAGUUUAGCGGGGUGUAUCCAACGGCCCCUAAAGAGGCCGGCCGGGUCUUGGCUGCACUGGUCUGGGUGCGCCCUGCCCUAUCGAUCGCUGCCAGAGCAAAUUGCUCGCGCCGUUCGCUGUUCUUAGGCUGCGGGCACAUGGUCGAUUGUCGAUACCUCUGGCCAGUGGCUACGUGGAAGUUUCGACAUCGUUUUUAGGUCAGGUCAUGGCAGUACGACUGACGACGCCGACUACUCCUGUGUAAGGUCACCGUCUCUUCGAGCUUGUGUUUGAUCUUUAGUCCGGUCUAAAAUUCAUGUCACGAGGCUAAUUAGGAGAACUAAACAUGAGCUAAUUAUAAAACUAAUUACAUAAAUGGAGGUUAAUUCACGAGACGAAUCUAUUAAGCCUAAUUAGUCCAUCAUUAGCACAUAUUUACUAUAGCAUCACAUUGUCAAAUCAUGGACUAAUUAGGCUUAAUAGAUUCGUCUCGCAAAUUAAUCUCCAUCUGUGCAAUUGGUUUUAUAAUUAAUUUAUGUUUAAUGCUCCUAAUUAGUAUCUAAACAUUCGAUGUGAUAUGAAUUUUAGGAGCGAAGACGUGCACGCCAACCGGUGCUCAAAUGAAUGCUCAGGUUGAAUCUGCAACCGUACAUUGACGCAGUCGACGAGCCGACGAACCGUUCGUUUCGACGAAAAACAGAGGAUGAGGUUGUACCAGUACGAACAUGGCAGAGUAUGAUGGAACUGCAACUGCCCGUCUGCCCGGACCAAACGGAACGUACCUGCGUGGGAAACACAGUGCUCAGUUGGAGUAGCCACGCCCCCACGCAGAGGAAACCAAAGACGUCGCGUCAGCGUGCUCUGCGGUUCGGACAGCGAUCGGUGAUCACAGAAGCUUCUAUCUUGCUUGUCCAGGCGACAGGAGCUCGUCGCAGUUGCUCUGCCUCUGAGGCUCUGAUGCCGAAUUGGCUGCCUGCCUUCCAACUCGCAGCCUCCAAUCUUCCAGGAAGGCGUUGUCGAUGUGACCGAGUGGGGCAUGCAUACUAGCUAUGUGUUUGAUGUGGAUCCUUGCCCACUACCCUGCGCUAGUUUUGGUUCGUGCGUCUCGAUCCCGUUCUAAUCAGUGGACAGCAGAUAAGCGUAUGCCCAGGUGACGUUGAUUCGAAGGACACUGCUCCCUUUGGCGUCCCUGUCCGGUUGAUUCGCUAUGUUUCCCACACAAUCCACUGCUGCAGACUUGUUGUAGAUUUGCACCUCAACUCCAAGCACGCACUAUUCUGUUCGGAACCUGCCAGGAACAUAGACAAUGGCUCGUUUUCAUGCGAGUCGCAUUCCCGUAUUUGCCCAGUUGCCCACAGGAUCCAGGGCGCCAGCAAGUCAAGGUGAAAGCUAGCUUGUAGUGGGCAUGCAUUUCUGAGUUGAAAGGGGAUGCACCCAACCCCAAACACACAGAACGGUCGUCUGAAGCUGCAAACAGUGAGAUGGAUGUCUUCGACGCCCUUAGCUUGCGUCACCAGGAAACCGACGUAUCCUCUGUAGAGUACGAUAGUUCGGUGCACCAUCACACCACGGGGAAAAAGUGCUUAUAUAUGCUAAACUCGAUUGAACCUUAAACAUAGUGCACGUAACCCUUUUCUCGUCAUGGCCUGAUGCAUUUUCUCGACCUUUUCCCAGUCCCAUAUCUUGGUCCUUCCUCGUAAAACAUUUUGGUUCACUCGAAUUCCGCCUGAUGAGGAGAAUCAGGGUGAAUGUUUCUACAGUUUAUCCAGUAGUAAUCCUGUAGAUCAUAAACCAUGUAGCCGCAGUCGAGCCUGCAUGCGCCAAUGGAAGUGAGCAACCAUGUCAUGCCACUCUUAAGUCUUAAGCAUCAGGCAUGCGUAAUGCAUGCGUUUCUGUGGCACCGCAGAGUCAUCCAGCAGACCAGCACGAGUGUUUAGCCGUGCCAAUUGUCAGUGGAUCGUGCUUCUCAAAAUGGGAAGGAGAAAAGCAGAUCGAGUCAGAUAUUCCCAUCAUCCACCGCGAGCGUUGAGAAAGGUCGACCAGUCUGCUGUCUGCACAUGACGCCGUCGAAUGAAACAGGCUUCAUUAUUUCAUUAAUCACCAAGUGUCCAAGCAUAUGGUGUUUCAGAAGAGCGACUGAUUCGCUUAGCUCCCGUCAAACAAGCACAACAAAGUCCCCUGAUAAUCUCGUGUGGGGAGGCUGUUUAGGUUUAGCCAUCCUGCCUGCUGGGGUUUAAGUCAAGUUACCUCACUUUAGAGUCGGCCUCUUUCUUUAAUGGUGAAUCCUAAAGUAUUUGUCCUCUUUAUAUUUUGUUCCUGAAAUAUCAAGAGCAUUGCAGAUUAGCUAUGCCAUUUCAUCAGCCAAUGUUUAACGCCCUAAUUACUUAGCUGCCUUUUCACUCAUUCAACCACAUUUUCCUUUUGUUGUGUAGCCCCUUGUAAAGUCGUAAGUCUAGGUUUAGGAUUAGUCUCCCCGGCGAUCCAAGCACGUGCGCAUUUGAGAGGCUCAGCAUCAGCCUUCAACCCAUACACUGCAUUGGCGCGCAACGACAUGCGUCCGUAGCUUUCAGCAACGUGUACUCCCAUCCGUUUGUCGACUGAAGCCUUAUUUGAGAGGGAUGGGCUAAACUUUAGACCUGUCACAUCGAAUGUUCGGAUGUUAAUUAAGAGGAGUAAAUAUGAGCUAAUUACAAAACUAAUAGCAGAACUGCUAGCCUAAAUCGCGAGACGAAUCUAUUAAGCCUAAUUAAUCCAUCAUUAGCGAAUGGUUACUGUAGCAUCACGUUGUUAAAUCAUGAACUAAUUAGGUUUAAUAGAUUCAUCUCGCGAUUUAGCUUAGGAACUGUGCAAUUAGUUUAGUGAUUAGCCUAUAUUUAAUACUCCUAAUUAAUGUCAAACAUUCGAUGUGACAGGAGCUAAAGUUUAGCCUCUCACUCCCAAACACCCCUUUCGUUUGUGGGCUGUGUUGCUUCACGGUACAUCUUCCGCUGUCAUGUCACGUCAUGCAGAAUUACAAAUGGCGGUGGAGAUGCAUGCCGGCAUACUAAUCACAGCAGUACGACGACAGAGACAAUCAUGGUGAGGAGAAUGAUCUGUCUCGGCGAAAAUUCCAUUGGAAACGUUUCUGAACCUUCUCGCCACCGGCACAGCAAGAUCCGGGCCGGGAAGGAUGUCACAGUCAAAUGCGAUUCACGUACAAUUCCUGGAAACAAGGUCAGGAAUGCAACUUCGCUUCUACAAGAAUUACAUCGAUGCAAUACCCGGAGUUUAGACCACACAAACCAACCACAGACAAGGAAUUCGAACGUGAUCAUUCAACUGGAAAUGCGCACGUUCAACCAGGGCAGGGAACAGCGAUAAGCCUGCAUCAACGAGAGCUCAACGCAUUUGAGGUCAACAAGUUACAACCGGACGAAUACAACCGAGGCUAGGAGUUUGACCUUUCACAGGCCACAUCCUGAAUCGUCUACCUCCGUGCAUUCUUAUUGCCCAAACCAAGAAACAGGGCUCGCAAAGAAGAAGAAAACACCGUCGCUAAAUAUAGUACAAUCGCUACAAAAGCAAGAGUUGGAUGACUGAAGUCUGGAACAAUAGUGUACAUUGUGAAAACUAAAAGAAUGCCUGCCCCAGCAUCACUUAAAAAGAAUGCCUGCUCGGCAUCACUCGAAAAGAAUGCCACAAUCAAUAAGCAAAAUCUGGAAGGGACGAGGAUGAUGACUAACUACUAGCAUGCACAUCCGCUUCUCGGUUCAGUCUCCGGGACCGGAUCCGCAACAGCCUGGAAGUAGCUGAAGAGCAGACAGACGGGUGUAAAUCAAUAGCUAAAUAGGAAAAUUAGCAUCUGUGCAGGAGCUGUUUCAUCUUGCUGAAACAAUGUAACGAAAUAUAACAAAAACCAACGAUGUACAUAUGCGAUUCUGCUCUAAUACAAAGUGUUCCCUUGUUCUGUGUUCCCUUAACCAUCUGUUUUCAGAUAUGUUAAGGGUGAUACAUCUGCUCUAAUACAUAUGUUGUUUCAUCUUGCAUGAAUCAACUAGUGAACAAAGCGUAUCUGUUCCUAGAUACCUAUGUCAAGUUGUCAGCAGAGAGCAAAACUAAUAUGGGUCAUCUUUCUGGAUGUUCACAGAGGUAGCUUCUUUAGUGUAGAAUGUUCCAUCAUUAUAACCUACUAGUUUUCCUUUGUCUACAGAAAAGUUCAUCAAUAGCAUCUACAACAUAAAGAGAUAUCACUAAGACAGCAAAGAAUAGCUAUGCACAUAUAGAACCUUAUUCAUUAACAAUAAAGCUUGUAAAAUGUUAGACUGGGAGAGAAAGCAUACAAACGAGUUAAAUAGGACUUCCAGACCAUCUACAUGUAUUGCAGAAUAUCUAAAAGCUAGCUAAACAAAAAACUAUUUUUUUUAAAGCAGAAACAGUAGGUGAGUCCCUACUGUGGUAUUAUAUUAAAUAAAUAAGAAGAAAGAGAAAACUAUACAAGGGCAGAAGCUCAACAUAAAAAUAAAACACUGUACAGCAAGAAGAGAAAACUAAACAAAAUGCUAUCCACAAAUUAUUUUUGACAGAUUGAAGAAUAGUAGCAACCAGUAAAUUAGAGCCAAGGUUGCACAAAAUGGGUGGGGUGUAUAAAAUCUUGCACAGGAAAGGACUAAUGAGCUUAGUUAAAAAUAAGACUUAAAAAAAAUGCAGUGCAGCUGGGAACAAGUCUGGUCAUAUAUAUUAACAACACAUGCUUUUACUCCAAGGAUUGAAUGAGCUCCCUACCAAACAACAAACUAAGGAGGAUGAAAUUACUCACAUGUCCUGAUCACGUUCAUGCUCUAGAGCAAGCUUGGCAACAGAGAGGAAUGCAUUGUCAACAUUGUAGUCCUCUUUUGCAGAAGUUUCAAAGUAAGGAAUGUUGCCUUUGGAAGCACACCACUCCAUUGCUUUCUUCUCAGAAACCUGUGAGAAACAUAAUAAUCAAGUAUUGGCAUAUCGAGACAUAAGUUACAAAUCAUCAUGUAAUAACAAAACUAACCACUCUGCUUUUUCCACCAUCUACAUCGAUCUUGUUACCAAGCAAGAUGAAGGGGAAAGUUUUAGGAUCUGAUGGGCUAGCCUGAAAAGAAAUGAAAAUAACCUUGUCAAGAAUCAAGAUGGAUGAGAUGCAAUAGAAAUACACAUUUAGUAUCUGGCUAUAAGAGAUACAAAUGUUACAGUAUCCGGAUUCAGAUAUUAUUACAUCACAACAACCAGAUCCCCAGAUAAAACAUACUAAAACAUAAGGUGGUUUUCCAUUCCACUCAACAACUACAGUAAAAUCGAUUAAGGCCAUCAUUGCAUAUAUAUAAAAUGUCUAAGAGUUCCAGGAUAGCUAACAAAGUUAACAAGCACAAAUAGUACCUUAGUUGUUACAGCAUAACAUGAAUUGCAAGCAAGAUACAGAAUACAGCAAGCUGCGAACUGCAGAAUUAUCAAAGCUUCCUGUUCUAAUAUAGCAGAACGAGUUUAUGUCAUGGAUUACAAUUCAAAAUGGCAAAAACUACGCUUUAUGAUUCUGUUGCAUUGUUUUAUCAUGCAUUAAUGAAUUCUUGACUGGAUAUACACAACUCAUAGAAAAUAGCCGACAAUUUAACAAGAACAUAACUGUAUCAAUAUGUCAUUAGAGACGUAGACUACAAUCAUGUCAUCAUAGUAACAGUACUUUAGGACGCCAAUAGUUACUUGACACAUCUGUUUGCUAUUUCAACAUUCAUUUGUUUGCUAGUUAUGCACCAAGGUAGAAGCUCAAUCAGUACAACUAAAGAAUCCCAAUAGUCAGAAUGUCAGCACUGCCAAAGUUCAAGAAGAAAACUGAACUGCCAAAGUAAUAGUUCAGAGCGAACUACCAAAGUAACAGUAGUGAGCACAGACUGUUGUUCCUGCCUGAACACAUCCUCACAGUCAAGCGAUCGCAAGACACGGACAGGAGUAAAAACUAUAUGAUCUAGGCUAAUCCAUUUUUAGCCAAAUAUGAUCAGCUAUUUAAGAGUAAGGUAUUUUAGAAUGAAAAUGACAUACAGUUCAUGGUAUAAAAAAUUGUAAUCACCAACCCACAAUAUUUGGUAGUAAGCUCGACACACCAAUACUCAUGUAAGAAUUUUUGAAACUUCAUAUGGAUUGAAUAGAUUAAAAUCAAUUAAGGAAAUUUGUAUCAGAUUCCAUAGGCAUACAAUUUCAAACUUCAAGAAGAUUUUCCUCUCUUUCCUUUGUGUUCUGUUUAGAUCAGACUUCAAUGCAAAAUUCGGUCUUAUCUGUUAACUUCUACUCAACUAGGAGAGAUAAUUCAUAGAUAUCACCAGAAUUUUUAGAACCAUCAAAUAUACUUAUUCCGUUAAAAAUGUUGAUAAUUCGUUUAUAGGGUUCCUUGCAGCUUAUAUGUGUUCAAAACAUGGUAGGUUGAGAGUGGGAAAAUCGAGAGGAAAAAAUGACAGCAUAAAAUGAGUUAAACAUAUGCUGCAAAUUCAAAAUUCAUAAAACACUAGGCAAGGCUAACUUCAACAUAUUUUCAAACACCUAUAAUUAAAAAACCAUGCAGAUAUGUGCGCAUACUCAAGCUUCACAAAACUAUUGGCAACAUCACAUCAAGCUGUCAGCUUGUAAAAUACUGUCGAGAUGAUAAAUGAUGAAAUGCACUAAGAUUGAUACCUAUCUUUUCUCAAUAACUAUCUUUUCCGAAACCACUACAGGAAAUAUCUAUAACUGUGAUCAAAUAUCACAAUAAUUCGUAAGAUAAGACAUUCUUACUUGGUUGAGGAACUCAUCAUGCCACGUGUUGAGUGUAUCGAAUGACCUGUUAGAGUUGACAUCAUAGACGAGCACACAACAAUCUGCCCCUCUAUAGAAUGCAACACCAAGACUCUGGAAUCUCUCCUGCCCCGCGGUGUCCCAGAUCUAGGAUGAAAGCAACACGUGACCACAACAGCAGCAGCAGCAGCAGCAUCUCCCUUCUCUUUGAGAAAGCUCACCAACUCAGGGAGACAAAGUGGCACUCACCUGCAACGUGACUAGCCUGUCUUCAAUGAGAACCUCCUUUGUGACGAAAUCUGCACCAAUUGUAGCUUUGUACUGCUGGCUGAACUUUUUGUGGACAUAUCUAGCUGAAAGUCAAGAACAUCAUAGCACCCAAAGUACAAAAGAUGCCCAACAUUUUAGAUACAUUGGAUACGUCAUGAUACUCGAUUCUUCUAGCAUUUGCAUCAUCUUAACCUCAAUUCACAUACUGGAAUCAGAAUGAUCGAAUGUACCAGAGCUUUCAGAACGAGAUUCACAGAAUCAGGGGUCACCCUGACGCACAGCACAACGAAUGAAAUAGUAGUAUGAAAAUGCAGUUAAACAGUUAUUGACUGCAAGUGAGAGCUCACAGAAAUCCAAAUUUCCAGACCCCUAAACUAAGUGAUGCGUUCCUACAACAAAUCCACUGAAUUGGGACCAACUUCACGGACAUCAAACUGGACCUAAUUACCGAAC
RNAcentral lists this long non-coding RNA (25832 nucleotides) under Setaria viridis. Its description in RNAcentral is "long non-coding RNA (SVIR_LNC006041)". The record is from RNAcentral. Lineage: Eukaryota; Viridiplantae; Streptophyta; Magnoliopsida; Poales; Poaceae.